CGUAAAGAAUAUUCCGCAAUGGGAAGGAAACUCUGACGGAGCAACGCCGCGUGGACGAUGAAGGCCGGAAGGUUGUAAAGUCCUUUUAUAAUUGAGGAAUAAGCGGGACAGGGAAUGGUUCCGCGGUGACUGUAGAUUAUGAAUAAGCACCGGCUAAUUACGUGCCAGCAGCCGCGGUAACACGUAAGGUGCGAGCGUUAUUCGGAAUUAUUGGGCGUAAAGGGCACGCAGGCGGCUUUGCAAGCUUGGUGUGAAAUCUCAGGGCUCAACCCUGAAACUGCAUUGAGAACUGCAUGGCUAGAGUUAGUGAGGGGAAACCGGAAUUCCAGGU
RNAcentral lists this ribosomal RNA (331 nucleotides) under uncultured Treponema sp. Its description in RNAcentral is "bacterial SSU rRNA". It matches the Rfam family "Bacterial small subunit ribosomal RNA", at positions 353 to 674 of the family's 1533-position model. The record is from RNAcentral. Lineage: Bacteria; Pseudomonadati; Spirochaetota; Spirochaetia; Treponematales; Treponemataceae.